GACGAACGCUGGCGGCGUGCUUAACACAUGCAAGUCGAACGGAAAGGCCUGCUUUCCCUUGUGGAUUGCGGGUACUCGAGUGGCGAACGGGUGAGUAACACGUGAGUGAUCUGCCCCCAACUUGGGUAUAAGCCUGGGAAACUGGGUCUAAUUCCCGAUAGGACUGCAGGGUGGUGCCUGUGGUGGAAAACGAUUUUCUAGUGGUUGGGGAUGAGCUCGCGGCCUAUCAGCUUGUUGGUGGGGUAAUGGCCUACCAAGGCGGCGACGGGAAGCCGGCCUGAGAGGGUGGACGGCCACAUUGGGACUGAGAUACGGCCCAGACUCCUACGGGAGGCAGCAGUGGGGAAUAUUGCACAAGGGGCGGAAGCCUGAGGCAGCGACGCCGCGUGGGGGAUGACGGCCUUCGGAUUGUAAACUCCUUUCGACCGCGAGGAAGCCACCUGGUUGGAAGGGUGGUGACGGUAGUGGUAGAAGAAGCACCGGCUAACUACGUG
This 494-nucleotide ribosomal RNA is filed under the name uncultured bacterium. RNAcentral describes it as "partial 16S ribosomal RNA". It matches the Rfam family "Bacterial small subunit ribosomal RNA", at positions 28 to 507 of the family's 1533-position model. The record is from RNAcentral.